GACGCGAUAGCGCAGUGGUUAAGCGUGACGACAUCAAAUGAUAGAGGAAGGGACCCGGGUUCGAUUCCCGGGUAGUGUCA
This is a non-coding RNA of Aphanomyces astaci, 80 nucleotides long. The record is from Rfam. NCBI's taxonomy places the organism in Eukaryota, Oomycota, Saprolegniomycetes, Saprolegniales, Verrucalvaceae.